This 74-nucleotide transfer RNA is filed under the name Stegodyphus dumicola. RNAcentral describes it as "tRNA-Asn". It matches the Rfam family "tRNA". Rfam says of the family: Transfer RNA (tRNA) molecules are approximately 80 nucleotides in length. The record is from RNAcentral. Lineage: Eukaryota; Metazoa; Arthropoda; Arachnida; Araneae; Eresidae.
GCCUUCGUGGUGUAGUGGUUCUGCACGCUUGGCCGUUAUUCCAGAGGUCCGGGGUUCGAUUCCCGGCGAAGGCG